GAGGAUCAAGUUCUCCAGCAGAAAGUCUAACGGUUCGUGGCAGACCAACAGACAAGAAGUCAAAUGCUGACUUUAAAGGCAAGAACUCAACUAAUUCUAGAGGCAGAUCAAAGUCUAUGAGUCGAAAAUAUUGCAGAUAUUGCAAAAAGGAUGGCCAUGAAAUUUCUGAAUGUUAUAAGCUGAACAACAAGGAGAAGAAAGCUUCCACCAGCAACUCAAAACCAAGUCAAGAUG
Molecule: long non-coding RNA, 234 nt
Filed under: Nicotiana benthamiana
Lineage: Eukaryota; Viridiplantae; Streptophyta; Magnoliopsida; Solanales; Solanaceae
Description: long non-coding RNA (NBEN_LNC022172)
Source: RNAcentral